AUCCAGCUGUCGAGUCACAAAUAGGACAAAACGCGUGUCCUGGAU
Molecule: non-coding RNA, 45 nt
Filed under: Schistosoma mansoni
Lineage: Eukaryota; Metazoa; Platyhelminthes; Trematoda; Strigeidida; Schistosomatidae
Source: RNAcentral